CCUACGGGAGGCUGCAGUGGGGAAUAUUGGACAAUGGGGGGAACCCUGAUCCAGCCAUGCCGCGUGUGUGAAGAAGGCCCUCGGGUUGUAAAGCACUUUCAGUGAGGAAGAACGCCUGGUGGUUAAUACCCAUCAGGAAAGACAUCACUCACAGAAGAAGCACCGGCUAACUCCGUGCCAGCAGCCGCGGUAAUACGGAGGGUGCGAGCGUUAAUCGGAAUUACUGGGCGUAAAGCGCGCGUAGGUGGCUUGAUAAGCCGGUUGUGAAAGCCCCGGGCUCAACCUGGGAACGGCAUCCGGAACUGUCAAGCUAGAGUGCAGGAGAGGAAGGUAGAAUUCCCGGUGUAGCGGUGAAAUGCGUAGAGAUCGGGAGGAAUACCAGUGGCGAAGGCGGCCUUCUGGACUGACACUGACAAUGAGGUGCGAAAGCGUGGGUAGCAAACAGGAUUAGAUACCCUAGUAGUC
RNAcentral lists this ribosomal RNA (465 nucleotides) under Vreelandella stevensii. Its description in RNAcentral is "partial 16S ribosomal RNA". It matches the Rfam family "Bacterial small subunit ribosomal RNA", at positions 338 to 795 of the family's 1533-position model. The record is from RNAcentral. Lineage: Bacteria; Pseudomonadati; Pseudomonadota; Gammaproteobacteria; Oceanospirillales; Halomonadaceae.